Molecule: long non-coding RNA, 441 nt
Organism: Microplitis mediator
Lineage: Eukaryota; Metazoa; Arthropoda; Insecta; Hymenoptera; Braconidae
Exons: 3
Source: RefSeq, a predicted model, not a curated record
UUAUAUUUCGAAUGUAUAAAUCAACAUAUAUAUAUAUUAUAUAAUCUAAGAGAACCAGACGGAUAUAAAAGCUCCGAUUUUAAUCGAUAUUGCUGCAGACGUCUUUUUCAUCUUCAGCAUCGCUCGAGUAUUCAAAGUUGAUAUCGUUUUAAAUCGUGAAAAAGGAAAAAAAUUUCGAAAAUGUUCAAAUUGUUGAUAUUCACUUUUUUGGUGAUCGUAUUGGUGGCAACUGUUAAUGCCAACUGUGCAGGAAACUGGUGUCAUCCGAGUGCAGGUUACAGCUGCUGUAAUCAUCAUAUUUGUUCAAACAUUAUGUCCCAAGGUAACUGCAUGCCUUCAUGGGGCGGCAAAUAAAUGGGACUUCCAUCUCCUAACAACAAUUUAGAGGCAAAUGUAUUAAUUCCUUAAUAAAUAAACUGACAUUUGCAUUGAAAAAAAAAA